RNAcentral lists this long non-coding RNA (352 nucleotides) under Capsella rubella. RNAcentral describes it as "long non-coding RNA (CRUB_LNC004875)". The record is from RNAcentral. Lineage: Eukaryota; Viridiplantae; Streptophyta; Magnoliopsida; Brassicales; Brassicaceae.
UGCACUUGCAGGGUGAGAGAGCCUAUCAAAUCAAAACUAAUCAUCCGGUUUGAAUAAAUCGAGUAAUCAAGUACAAUAAGAAGAUUUUAAACUUUUUUUUUUGCAAAUGACUAAUUAACUGUAAAGCCUUUUUUUUUGUUGUAUACAAAAAUUGAAAAGCAAUUGCUCGUAUUACGUCCACCCACUUACUUAUCAAAUUGUCUCCCUUACGUAACCAAAUCACCUUUUUAAAUAAAACAAUGUCCAUUCAAAAAAAAUAAAAAAUCUGCUUUAGCUUUUAAAAAUAAAAUAAUAGUAAAUAAAAACAGUAGAGAAUCAAGAACAAAUCACUUAUAAGGCUUUAGCAAUGUCC